Molecule: unclassified non-coding RNA, 332 nt
Filed under: soil metagenome
Description: partial contains 5.8S ribosomal RNA, internal transcribed spacer 2, and large subunit ribosomal RNA
Rfam family: 5.8S ribosomal RNA (bases 5-119)
Source: RNAcentral
GAUGAGAACGUAGUAAAAUGCGAUAAGUAAUGUGAAUUGCAGAAUUCAGUGAAUCAUCGAAUCUUUGAACGCACAUUGCGCCCGCCAGUAUUCUGGCGGGCAUGCCUGUUCGAGCGUCAUUUCAACCCUCAAGCUCAGCUUGGUGUUGGGACUCGCGGUAACCCGCGUUCCCCAAAUCGAUUGGCGGUCACGUCGAGCUUCCAUAGCGUAGUAAUCAUACACCUCGUUACUGGUAAUCGUCGCGGCCACGCCGUAAAACCCCAACUUCUGAAUGUUGACCUCGGAUCAGGUAGGAAUACCCGCUGAACUUAAGCAUAUCAAUAAGCGGAGGA